This is an RNA transcript of Nematostella vectensis (starlet sea anemone), 3273 nucleotides long. RefSeq lists it as uncharacterized. The record is from RefSeq and is a predicted model, not a curated record. NCBI's taxonomy places the organism in Eukaryota, Metazoa, Cnidaria, Anthozoa, Actiniaria, Edwardsiidae. The transcript has 3 exons.
ACCUCGACAUGAUGUGCAAAGCGAGACGAGUUCAAACGUAACCGGAUGGUUUUGAAGCGUGAAAGGGGCUCUAUUCAAAGAGUGACCUCAACGGCACAUGAGCCGGAGGAAAGACUUUGGGAUUUACGAGGGAGAAACACGGGGUAAUUUCUCUCAUGUUCUGCCUUUGUAAACCUUGAUUCCCUCAAGACAAAAUGAGUCGACAAGAUGGUCUAUUACCGAAGAUUUGCAAGCAAUACUGCAAGCCUGGAUACCCGAAUUGCUCAGAAGGUUAUGUACGGCAACCAUGUGAUACAUGGAAAGCUUUGUCAUCAUCGUCAUCAUCAUCUCCAUGGUCAUCAUCAUCAACAUUGUCGCCAUCAUCAUCACCAUCAACUUCCCCACUGAAAGAACCGCUUUCUUCAGCAAGCUUUGCAGGUAUCCCAAGUGCCUCUGUGUCCAGUGUCAUAGAUAUCAGGCAGUUGAUCAAAACUCCACUCUCCAUAAGUGUGAAACACCGCAUAAAUAUGCUUACAUGGGAAGUAGCACUUGAGCAGCAAGGGGUUUGGAGGUUCACUGUGUACAGCCAGUUGGCAUCCUUGGAUGCUUUCACUUGAAAUUCUCCUUUAACGACGUCAACACAAUGUAUAUCCUGCAAGGGGUUUGGAGGUUCACUGUGUACAGCCAGUUGGCGUCCUUGGAUGCUUUCACUUGAAAUUCUCCUUUAACGACGUCAAUACAAUGUAUAUCCUGCAAGGGGUUUGGAGGUUCACUGUGUACAGCCAGUUGGCGUCCUUGGAUGCUUUCACUUGAAAUUCUCCUUUAACGACGUCAACACAAUGUAUAUCCUUCAAGGGGUUUGGAGGUUCACUGUGUACAGCCAGUUGGCGUCCUUGGAUGCUUUCACUUGAAAUUCUCCUUUAACGACGUCAACACAAUGUAUAUCCUGCAAGGGGUUUGAAGGUUCACUGUGUACAGCCUGUUGGCGUCCUUGGAUGCUUUCACUUGAAAUUCUCCUUUAACGACGUCAACACAAUGUAUAUCCUUCAAGGGGUUUGGAGGUUCACUGUGUACAGCCAGUUGGCGUCCUUGGAUGCUUUCACUUGAAAUUCUCCUUUAACGACGUCAACACAAUGUAUAUCCUGCAAGGGGUUUGAAGGUUCACUGUGUACAGCCUGUUGGCGUCCUUGGAUGCUUUCACUUGAAAUUCUCCUUUAACGACGUCAACACAAUGUAUAUCCUGCAAGGGGUUUGGAGGUUCACUGUGUACAGCCUGUUGGCGUCCUUGGAUGCUUUCACUUGAAAUUCCCCUUUAACGACGUCAACACAAUGUAUAUCCUGCAAGGGGUUUGGAGGUUCACUGUGUACAGCCAGUUGGCGUCCUUGGAUGCUUUCACUUGAAAUUCUCCUUUAACGACGUCAACACAAUGUAUAUCCUGCAAGGGGUUUGGAGGUUCACUCUGUACAGCCUGUUGGCGUCCUUGGAUGCUUUCACUUGAAAUUCUCCUUUAACGACGUCAAUACAAUGUAUAUCCUGCAAGGGGUUUGAAGGUUCACUGUGUACAGCCUGUUGGCGUCCUUGGAUGCUUUCACUUGAAAUUCUCCUUUAACGACGUCAACACAAUGUAUAUCCUGCAAGGGGUUUGGAGGUUCACUGUGUACAGCCUGUUGGCGUCCUUGGAUGCUUUCACUUGAAAUUCCCCUUUAACGACGUCAACACAAUGUAUAUCCUGCAAGGGGUUUGGAGGUUCACUGUGUACAGCCAGUUGGCGUCCUUGGAUGCUUUCACUUGAAAUUCUCCUUUAACGACGUCAACACAAUGUAUAUCCUGCAAGGGGUUUGGAGGUUCACUCUGUACAGCCUGUUGGCGUCCUUGGAUGCUUUCACUUGAAAUUCUCCUUUAACGACGUCAAUACAAUGUAUAUCCUGCAAGGGGUUUGAAGGUUCACUGUGUACAGCCUGUUGGCGUCCUUGGAUGCUUUCACUUGAAAUUCUCCUUUAACGACGUCAACACAAUGUAUAUCCUCCAAGGGGUUUGAAGGUUCACUCUGUACAGCCUGUUGGCGUCCUUGGAUGCUUUCACUUGAAAUUCUCCUUUAACGACGUUGUUGGUGUUGACAAUGUUGAGAACCUGUUCUCUCAGAAUAGCUGUGCCCACCUCCGUACGCACGACAUCCAGGUCUUUUCUACAUAUAUCUUCACAGCUUGGUUGGCGUUGUACACUGGGGACCUCCUCAAGUCUGCAACUGCCCCACCGUAUUGGGCGAGCUGACGUGAAUCCGCCACCCUUUUCAGCAGGGAGAACAGCGCUGCUUGCGCAGCAGGAUUUAGACCGCUCUUCGGGAGCCAGUGCCACCGCACAUCCGGUGAUCAUGAAACGGCAGGCUUAGGUAUGGUAUGGACUUGAGCUCACACAAAAAAAUGUUCGCUAAACCAUGUUUCUCGUUUUGAUUAAACUACUCGAGAUCCUUUAGAAUCAACUAUCUUAAAUCCAUAACGCACUGAACCUAAAGAAAAGGGGACGUCUACUUACCAUUAUCCGAGAAGCGCUUAUUGCCCUUCACUUGGAAUUGUGCUCUAAUGAAAGAAGUUGUAGAAAUGCAAAACAAUUCCCCAAACACAGCCUCCAUGGUCUCUCCAUUAGAUGCGUCAUAAAUCCUGUAUAAGUAGUCGUCUUCUUGCUUGAUUGUGGUAAAGUUUUCAAACAAAAUGUCUUUCUCACAUUGAAUAAUAUCGCUUUGGUCUUGAGAUGUGUCCGUCAUUGUAAGGGUUCUAAGGAAAAACGUGAAAGGUGCCGGGUUUUUUUACUUGUCCAGCUGUAAAGCUGGAAAGGAUAUGACGUUUGUUUCCUUCACCCCCAUCCAACGCCUAAAUAUUCCAUCUCAAUCUGGAACGGAAAUGACCGUUUUUUUUUUUCCUUACCCUUCCCAAACACCAAACUCGGGACCAAACCAGGUGAGUGCACAGUGGGGUCAUUUCUUAUUCUUAUCCAACGAUCGUCAAAUACUAUUCUUUUCCUAUGAUACCAUGGCUGUGCACCCCCUCCCCCCGCCCCUCUCAGCCAAUCCUGGGUACGCGCCUGCAAACUAUUCCAAACCCCCUAUUCCUUACACAACCAAAAGUUUACUGAACCAAAAGUUUACGGUCUUUAUAAUGAUUACCAGAGAUAUGAUUACCAGAGAUAAAACGCAAAAACAAUGAACGCGCGCUUUCCUAGCCGAGAUUGGGAGACUAUGUUCUUGCUCAUUGACUUUUAUAAUCUGCGUGAUGACAUAUAAAGCAACAAACACUAAU